UCCCUGCUGGCUCAGAUGGUAAAGCGUCUGCCUACAAUGCGGGUAGACCCAGGUUCAAUCCCUGGGUCAGGAA
This 73-nucleotide transfer RNA is filed under the name Bos taurus (domestic cattle). It matches the Rfam family "tRNA". From Rfam's summary of the family: Transfer RNA (tRNA) molecules are approximately 80 nucleotides in length. Their secondary structure includes four short double-helical elements and three loops (D, anti-codon, and T loops). Lineage: Eukaryota; Metazoa; Chordata; Mammalia; Artiodactyla; Bovidae. The record is from Rfam by way of RNAcentral.